Molecule: ribosomal RNA, 945 nt
Filed under: Triticum aestivum (bread wheat)
Lineage: Eukaryota; Viridiplantae; Streptophyta; Magnoliopsida; Poales; Poaceae
Description: partial small subunit ribosomal RNA
Source: RNAcentral
UCCCGGUCUAAGCCCAGAGUCCCUCCCCCUUCGCUCGCCUCCCUCCCUCCCGUGAAUAGGUCCCAGCCGCCGCCGCCGCCGCGCCCGCCGGCAUCUCCCUUCCUCUCCCCUGAUCCGUCCUUCCGCAGGUUGCGCGAUGCUUGCCCUGUCCAGGACGCUCGCGAGGCGGCUCUUCUCCACCGCCGCCGCGCCCGAGGGCGCCGCCGCCGCCGCCUCCACGUCGCUGGCGAGGAAGCCGCAGAACCCCCUCGAGGAGUUCUUCGAGGUCGAGCGGAGCACCCAGGACGACCAGCCCGCGCCCCACUACGGUCGUGGCUGGAAGGCUUCUGAACUGCGCCUCAAGUCCUGGGACGACCUUCAUAAGUUGUGGUAUGUCCUGCUAAAGGAGAAGAACAUGCUCAUGUCCCAACGCCAGAUGCUGGCUUCAGAGAGCAUGCGUUUCCCAAACCCGGAGCGCAUUUCCAAGGUAAGGAGAUCGAUGUGCCGGAUCAAGCACGUGCUGACGGAGCGGGCCAUAGCGGACCCUGACCCGAGGAGGACUGCGGAGAUGAAGCGGAUGAUCAACGCCAUGUGACCGACCCGCGCCGCGCCGUGCUUCUACUGUCCGUAAGCAGCAGCCGUAGCAGCAUUAGCAUCUAUCUAGUGGAAAGAACGAAUUUGCUCGCUUUUCCUUCUUGGGUUGUAUGCCUCCCCCCGUGAGAUGCAUAAGACCAGCAAUCCUUGAGACGCCGUCGCCCCCGACAGUCCCACGGAUGGGCGAACGUCAAUGGACUUGUGUUCGAAUAAUCGCAACCGUCCUUUUUUUCUUUUGCAUGUGUGUGUGUGUGUGUGUGUGGCAAAGUACCAUCCGGCUGUUUGUUUGCACAAUGUGUUAUGGAUGUCCAUUGGUUUCAUUUCUGGCUCUGCGUAGCCAGAGCUUGGUUUUCAGUCGGCCAUUCAUUCAUU